Molecule: ribosomal RNA, 297 nt
Filed under: uncultured Pseudomonadota bacterium
Lineage: Bacteria; Pseudomonadati; Pseudomonadota
Description: uncultured proteobacterium partial 16S ribosomal RNA
Rfam family: Bacterial small subunit ribosomal RNA
Source: RNAcentral
AACGAACGCUGGCGGCAGGCUUAACACAUGCAAGUCGAACGGGCGCAGCAAUGCGUCAGUGGCAGACGGGUGAGUAACGCGUGGGAACGUGCCCUUCGGUUCGGAAUAACUCAGGGAAACUUGAGCUAAUACCGGAUACGUGCGAGAGCAGAAAGAUUUAUCGCCGAAGGAUCGGCCCGCGUCCGAUUAGCUAGUUGGUGAGGUAACGGCUCACCAAGGCGACGAUCGGUAGCUGGUCUGAGAGGAUGAUCAGCCACACUGGGACUGAGACACGGCCCAGACUCCUACGGGAGGCUG